RNAcentral lists this ribosomal RNA (460 nucleotides) under uncultured bacterium. RNAcentral's name for it is "partial 16S ribosomal RNA". It matches the Rfam family "Bacterial small subunit ribosomal RNA", at positions 338 to 795 of the family's 1533-position model. The record is from RNAcentral.
CCUACGGGUGGCAGCAGUGAGGAAUAUUGGUCAAUGGGCGCGAGCCUGAACCAGCCAAGUAGCGUGAAGGAUGACUGCCCUACGGGUUGUAAACUUCUUUUAUAAAGGAAUAAAGUGAGGCACGUGUGCCGUUUUGAAUGUACUUUAUGAAUAAGGAUCGGCUAACUCCGUGCCAGCAGCCGCGGUAAUACGGAGGAUCCGAGCGUUAUCCGGAUUUAUUGGGGUUAAAGGGAGCGUAGAUGGGUUGUUAAGUCCGUUGUGAAAGUUUGCGGCUCAACCGGAAAAUUGCAAUUGAUACGGGCAGCCUUGAGUUCAGUUGAGGUAGGCGGAAUUCGUGGUGUAGCGGUGACAUGCUUAGAUAUCACGAAGAACUCCGAUUGCGAAGGCAGCUUCCUAACCUGCCACUGACAUUGCUGCUCGAAAGUGUGGGUAUCAAACAGGAUUAGCUACCCUGGUAGUC